AAGUCGUAACAAGGUUUCCGUAGGUGAACCUGCGGAAGGAUCAUUAUUGAAUAAGCUUGGUUGGGUUGUUGCUGGCUCUUCGGAGCAUGUGCACGCCUAACACCAACCUUUUACCUCCUGUGCACCUUUUGUAGACCUGGAUAUCUCUCGAGGAAACUCGGUAUGAGGACUGCUGUGCGUCAAGCCAGCUUUUCUUACAUUUCCGGUCUAUGUUUUUAUAUACCCCUUCAGUAUGUCUAUGAAUGUUAUUAUUGGGCUUAACUGUCCUAUAAACUUAUACAACUUUCAACAACGGAUCUCUUGGCUCUCGCAUCGAUGAAGAACGCAGCGAAAUGCGAUAAGUAAUGUGAAUUGCAGAAUUCAGUGAAUCAUCGAAUCUUUGAACGCACCUUGCGCUCCUUGGUAUUCCGAGGAGCAUGCCUGUUUGAGUGUCAUGAAAUUCUCAACCAUUUCAGCUUUAUCUAGCUGAUUUAGGCUUGGAUGUGGGAGUUUGCGGGCUUCUCUGAAGUCGGCUCUCCUUAAAUAUAUUAGUAGGGACCUCUGUUGNCUCAGCUCUUGGNGNGAUAGUUAUCUACGCCAUUCUGCGAAGCAGCUUUAAAAUGGGGUUACUGCUUUCUAACCGUCUCUACCGAGACAACUUCUGACAAUUUGACCUCAAAUCAGGUAGGACUACCCGCUGAACUUAAGCAUAUCAAUAAGCGGAGGNAAAGAAACUAACAAGGAUUCCCCUAGUAACUGCGAGUGAAGCGGGAAAAGCUCAAAUUUAAANUCUGAGGGUCCUUGCGGCCUUCCGAGUUGUAAUCUAGAGAAGUGCUAUCCGCGCUGGACCGUGUACAAGUCUCCUGGAACGGAGCGUCAUAGAGGGUGAGAAUCCCGUCUUUGACACGGACUACCAGGGCUUAUGUGAUGCGCUCUCAAAGAGUCGAGUUGUUUGGGAAUGCAGCUCUAAAUGGGUGGUAAAUUCCAUCUAAAGCUAAAUAUUGGCGAGAGACCGAUAGCGAACAAGUACCGUGAGGGAAAGAUGAAAAGAACUUUGGAAAGAGAGUUAAACAGUACGUGAAAUUGUUGAAAGGGAAACGCUUGAAGUCAGUCGCGUUGGCCAGGAAUCAACCUUGCUUUUGCUUGGCGUACUUUCUGGUUAACGGGUCAGCAUCAAUUUUGAUCGGUGGAUAAAGGUCAGGGGAAUGUGGCAUCUUCGGAUGUGUUAUAGCCUCUGGUUGCAUACAUCGGUUGGGAUUGAGGAACUCAGCACGCCGCAAGGCCGGGUUUUUAACCACGUACGUGCUUAGGAUGCUGGCAUAAUGGCUUUAAUCGACC
Molecule: ribosomal RNA, 1317 nt
Filed under: uncultured fungus
Lineage: Eukaryota; Fungi
Description: eukaryotic LSU rRNA
Rfam family: Eukaryotic large subunit ribosomal RNA (bases 650-1317)
Source: RNAcentral